This 526-nucleotide ribosomal RNA is filed under the name uncultured bacterium. RNAcentral describes it as "bacterial SSU rRNA". It matches the Rfam family "Bacterial small subunit ribosomal RNA", at positions 984 to 1509 of the family's 1533-position model. The record is from RNAcentral.
ACAUCCAGAGAAUUUAGCAGAGAUGCUUUAGUGCCUUCGGGAACUCUGAGACAGGUGCUGCAUGGCUGUCGUCAGCUCGUGUUGUGAAAUGUUGGGUUAAGUCCCGCAACGAGCGCAACCCUUAUCCUUUGUUGCCAGCACGUAAUGGUGGGAACUCAAAGGAGACUGCCGGUGAUAAACCGGAGGAAGGUGGGGAUGACGUCAAGUCAUCAUGGCCCUUACGAGUAGGGCUACACACGUGCUACAAUGGCGCAUACAAAGAGAAGCGACCUUGCGAGAGCAAGCGGACCUCAUAAAGUGCGUCGUAGUCCGGAUUGGAGUCUGCAACUCGACUCCAUGAAGUCGGAAUCGCUAGUAAUCGUAAAUCAGAAUGUUACGGUGAAUACGUUCCCGGGCCUUGUACACACCGCCCGUCACACCAUGGGAGUGGGUUGCAAAAGAAGUAGAUAGCUUAACCUUCGGGAGGGCGUUUACCACUUUGUGAUUCAUGACUGGGGUGAAGUCGUAACAAGGUAGGCGUAGUGCU